CGCACGGUGGCUUAGUGGUUAGCAUGUUCGCCUGUUUGCCUCACACCGCCAGGGUUGUGGGUUCGAUUCCCACCGCUGCUC
This is a non-coding RNA of Ameiurus melas (black bullhead), 81 nucleotides long. The record is from the annotation of a GenBank genome assembly. Lineage: Eukaryota; Metazoa; Chordata; Actinopteri; Siluriformes; Ictaluridae.